CUCGCGUUGGGCUAAUUGGCAAGUCGCCUGAUUUGGGGUCAGGAAGAUCACCGUUCGAGUCGGUGGCGCGAGACCA
RNAcentral lists this transfer RNA (76 nucleotides) under Betaproteobacteria bacterium. RNAcentral's name for it is "tRNA-Pro". It matches the Rfam family "tRNA". Rfam says of the family: Transfer RNA (tRNA) molecules are approximately 80 nucleotides in length. Their secondary structure includes four short double-helical elements and three loops (D, anti-codon, and T loops). The record is from RNAcentral. Lineage: Bacteria; Pseudomonadati; Pseudomonadota; Betaproteobacteria.